RNAcentral lists this long non-coding RNA (3037 nucleotides) under Brassica napus (rape). RNAcentral describes it as "long non-coding RNA (BNAP_LNC020535)". Lineage: Eukaryota; Viridiplantae; Streptophyta; Magnoliopsida; Brassicales; Brassicaceae. The record is from RNAcentral.
AUCUUCUUCCUGUAUUGUGGAUGGGAAAGGAAAGUACGAAGAAUACCAUGAGAGUUACUUGAAGAUAGACAAGAGUAAAACCCUGGGCAAAGGUGUUCACAAGGAUCCUAGUGGUCUCUCUGUUCUCACCGGAAACAGCAAGAAGAACCUAAUGAACCAUGCGAGCUUCAAAGGCUUGAAGGAACAGAAACGGAACUCUCAGGAGAAAACCUUGAAAUCCAGCCUGAGCAGAUUGAUGCCAACGGUUAGUUUCAACGACAAGACUCUAAACUCACCCACAUCUCAGAAGCGAAAAUCUGCUGUUUAUCGGCUUUCUUUCAAGAGGAGAUCAUGCGACGGUGAGGAAGUUACAGAGCAGCGUAAGCUGUUGUACCGUCCGAAGGCGGGUUUCACCAUCCCUUGCUCUUCCAGAGAGAAGCAGUCCAGUGGAAGCUGGUGUGAGAUACCACCUUCAACUUUUAAACUCCGUGGAGAAACCUAUUUCAAGUACACCCUUUCACCACUCUGUUAUAUGUAUCUUUUCUAUAGAAACUGUUUGGUCUGUAACUGUUGAGGAAUGGUGUUUGCAGAGACAAAAAGAAAUCUCCAGCUCCGAAUCAGUGUGCAUACACUCCUAUUGGCGUUGACUUGUUUGUCUGUCCAAAGAAGAUUGAUCAUAUCGCCCAACACAUCGAGCUUCCAAACAUUAAAGCUGAGGCAAAGCUCCCUGCGCUUCUCGUUGUCAACAUUCAGGUAACCACCACUGAGAUACUAAUGCCUACUUCGUUAUUGGUUUGUCGCAAACUUUUUGAUUGUAUCAUGUUCAUAAGAAGCGUGUAAAUGGCUGUUUUGAUAUGCAUAUAUGUGUAAAUGAUCCUGACCUUUGCGUUUUGUUGGCAGUUACCAACCUAUCCUGCUGCAAUGUUCCUUGGAGAUAGUGAUGGAGAAGGCAUGAGCAUUGUACUUUACUUUAAAUUACAAGAAAAUUUCGAAAGGGAAACCUCUCAGCAGUAUCAGGACAACAUCAAGGUAGCCUUCACAAUUAUCACAUCUCGUGAUUGAUCGCUUACUUCUUGUUUGUUUGUUCGUCUCCCCUGAAACGAAACAGAAACUUGUGGAUGAUGAGGUGGAGAAGGUGAAGGGGUUUGCGAAAGACAGCACUGUAGCUUUCCGUGAGAGGCUUAAGAUCGUGGCUGGACUUGUUAACCCCGAAGAUCUAACUCUAGGCUCGACUGAGAAGAAAAGCUUCCCUUUUGCGUCAUUGCUAUCCGUGCCCGGAUCCGAAAUCUUCGGGUUUCAAAACUAUCUUCUUUUCAUCGGAGAUUAACGACGGGAAGAUUCUUCCCCUUUUCUCCUCAGAUUAAAAAAAAAAACAACAACAAAGGGAAGAUUCUUCCCCUUUAUCAUGUUUCCUUUUUCCAGGUAUAAUCUCUCUAAUUAGAUUCAUCAGUUUCGAAUCUUGUUUUUGUCGUACAUUCUCGUUUGGAUCUGUUCUUAUUGUAGAGCUACGGAUCGAUCAUGAUCUUUACCAGAUUCAGCACUUUCAUGUUUGUUCCUUCCUAACUUUUGCAUGCGAUGACAAAAAAAAUUGUAAAUUAUAGUAUUUGCUAUUGUCUCCUGAUCGAUGUUGACGUUUAUAGUUAUAUGUUCAAACUAUAAGAGCUUGUUAACAUCAAAGUUUGUUUCUUUGAGACAUCUCUGAUUAGGUUUUAAUGUAAUCGUGUGUGCUUUGUUGUAAAACAACCUGGUGAAUCGAUCGAUGAUUACAAAUAUGUUUUUUACGUUUUUUUAGAUUUAGUAUAAUAAUCCAAUAAUGAGAUUUGUUGAUGCAUGUUGUUGUUCCCCACUUCCUCUUAUAAUUGUUUUUAAUCAUCUACACUUUUUUGAGCUGGCUACUACUACUAAUAUUUUAUUAGUUGAAGGAUCUUGUAUUGACUUGGUAUUUGAUUUUUUUUCAAAACUUGCUUGGUCCCAAUGUUGUUAAUAAAGACAGAAAGUGACAACCAGUUUCUGUAUGUGAGGAGGGAUGUAUCUGCUUAGCUCUCUCUCUCUCUUUCCAAAACCUGUGUUUGUUUUUUUUAUUGAUGCAUAUAUGUUAUUAGAAGCAUUGGCCUUUUCAUGAGUUUUUCUUUCUUUCUUGAAGCAGGAUCUAAAGUAAAAUUAUAUAAAUAAUGGGUGGGUGUGUGUCAACCCAUUCAAGAGGGAUUAGGCGGCCUCGGCGUAAAGGCCGUCGCAGGUCUUCCAAACAUUUUUCUAAAGUAUCUGACAUUGUUCCUCAUGCAAAUACUAGAAGGUCUAGUGACGUUGUGAGCCGAGUUUCUUUCGGUGAGUCUUUCUUUUUAUCUAGCAUUGGUUAGAUCAUAUUGUUUCUCAUUUUGUUGAUCGCUCGAAAUGAUCAUAGCUGGACAGUAGUAGAUUUUUUUUACCUGUAGAAUUUCGUUUUGUUGCAGCUACCUCGCAGGAUGAUGCAUGGUUUGACUCUGUCAGUGUUCUAGAUUCUGAUGACGAUGAGGACUUCGUCAGCCUACCUGAAGGUAAAUGUCAAUCUAUAUUAAUACAGAGAACCAAUUUUGCUUAUGUAGAUAUAGAUCUAAAUCUUUUUGUCUCUCUUUUUUGCCAUCUCUCGCCCAGCAGAUAACGUAUCAUCACCGGGUGGUGCGGCCGGCAAUAUCCCAAAUGGUCAAGUAGUUCAAUUUGAAUCUUCUUCCUGUAUUGUGGAUGGGAAAGGAAAGUACGAAGAAUACCAUGAGAGUUACUUGAAGAUAGACAAGAGUAAAACCCUGGGCAAAGGUGUUCACAAGGAUCCUAGUGGUCUCUCUGUUCUCACCGGAAACAGCAAGAAGAACCUAAUGAACCAUGCGAGCUUCAAAGGCUUGAAGGAACAGAAACGGAACUCUCAGGAGAAAACCUUGAAAUCCAGCCUGAGCAGAUUGAUGCCAACGGUUAGUUUCAACGACAAGACUCUAAACUCACCCACAUCUCAGAAGCGAAAAUCUGCUGUUUAUCGGCUUUCUUUCAAGAGGAGAUCAUGCGACGGUGAGGAAGUUACAGAGCAGCG